AUCCUGACAACAUUAGAAUGACACUAAGCAAGUUUAUAUUUGAUAAUGAGAGAGAGAAAUAGCCUAAAAGUACUUAUACCCGAAAUUAAUUCUCAGAUAUACAUUCAUCUUCAUUUCUGUUUCAUGCUCUUCCUUUCCGAAAUUGCUCAUGUUUUCACUCUUCCAUAAUUACCAAAAUCACAAAACUCCACCACAUUUUUCCAAGGAACUGAAAUUACAAGCUGGAAUUGAAGAAGAAUUGGAGAAACUCUUACCAAAGAGAGGAAUCAAAAUCAAGUUUGAAGUAUUAAAGAAAUUCAAUCAAAACACCCAACAAAGAGGUAUCUAACCUUUACCUGUCAAAUUCAUGGAAAUUAGAGUAUUAGUGUCUUAUAGUUAGUAAAUUGCUGUGUUCGAAUAUGUUAAUGGGUGUGAUGAAGAUGUUUCAUGAAUUCUGGAACAAUAAGAAAGAAUUUCCACGAAAUUCUUGGUUAAGAGAGUUAUAACUAAAAGCUUGUGAAAUUAUGGAAUUAAGCCAUGCCUUCUAGAUGUUUGAGAAAUUACCUCAAAGAGGUUAAAGUGUACAAAACUGAACAAGCCAAGUAAAAUAAAGGAAAGAUAGAACAAGCAUAUAUUGUGUAAUUAAAAUAUGUUUUUUUUUGUGCAACAGAAGUUAUGGUAUGUUGACUUCAUCAGCGGCAUUAAGUGGAACCCAUCAAGAAUAAAAAAAAACUGAAUUCAUGUUGUUAUUAUAAUUUCUAGCAUCCUGCUAGAAGUUAGAAAAAUAUAAUAACUAAAGUGUAUUUAAAUGCAAGAUAAUAUGACAUUUGGAGUGAAGAUAUUGUGGAAAUUUUGUCACCCUCAAUUUGGGAUAAUUCUAAAUAUGAUGGGCCAUCAGCCAUCUUGGGAUUGAUUAUAUAAGAUGUAAACUAGGCAUAAGUAUUAUAUAAUCAAGACCCUGAAUGGACCUGGGAAGUUUAGUGAUGAGUUAGAUAUGGAAUAUAGAGGUUAGAGAACUUGAGUGCUAAUAAAUGGUUACACAAAUUGGCUAAAUUUAAGAAAGCUCAAGGUCUUUCAAGUAAACACUAGAAUAAGAAUUAGUUAGUUGAAAAAAAAACAAACUUAGGACUAACAUGCGCCAAACUGUUGAAAGCAUCAAGUAGCUCAAUAUUCACUAUUACUAAAUCAGGUUGAUCAGGAGAAGUACACACAAAUAGAACAAGCUGAAGUAAUUUUGAAUAUAUGGUGAAACACGUCAUGAAUCUAAGUGAACUACAUGAUUGCAAAUUUAUUUGUUAUGCCUUGAUGAAAGGAAACUGGAAGAAAUUCGUUGAUGCCAUUGAAUUUCGGUAAUGAAUUAAAAAGAAUAUUGAUCUUCAAAUGCAAUUGAUGCGUCUGAACAGAGGAAUGGCUGUUUGACAAAGUUAUAUAUGAAAUUUGUUAAGGCAAGUGCCCAUCUUAGUUUUCAUGUGAACCAUAUAUAGUUUACUCGAAUAGACAUGAGAAAGGUUUGGUCAUAUUAUAAGCUACUUCCUCUUCCUUGGGUCUUGAUAAAUUUUCAGUUCCUAACAAAGUAGUAAAUUGAUGAACACUACUUGAUCUUGGGUUCUGAUAUGAAAAGCUAAAUUGUUAAAUAAAUAUUACUUAUUUAGCAAACCAUGGAACCCAAUAUGUGGGUAUAUUGAUUAUUUAUGUUAUGUAUGAGCUAAGGAAGGACGUAGUAAGGUUAUUAAUAUAUAUACCAAUAAUCUAAAUUUAUGAGGUGUAAAGAUAAUAGAUUAUUUAACAUAAUUACAUUUAUGUUAAAUCUUAUUCAUGAUCUAUGUUAUUAUUAACAAAUUUAAUAAAAUUAGUAAGCUAACAAAUGAGUUAGUAAGUUUGAGUCAAAGUUCAUAGAAAUGUGAGCUUUAAGUUAAAAUUUUUGUGAGGUAUAUGUAUUCAUUGGGUUGUAUGGAUUAGUGAAACAAAAUGGGUGUGAUAUAUAUAACUUGAAUUUAAGUAUAAAUUCAUGAAAAACGAGUGGGUUGGUUUAUCAAACUAGUAAAAGCUAAUAAGAUUUAUAUUCCAUACAUAUGUAGCAAAAUUAUUAAAAAUAAGAGAAGUUAAGAAUGGAAUAUUAGAAUUGUAAAACACAAGUUUAAAUAGAAUUUGUAGAAUAUGAUAAUGUUAUUACAUUGUAAUAACAUUAUGUGUAUAUUGGUGCUAUGCAGGAGCAUAAUACUUCGAAUACGUGUAAUCGCGUAAAAUUAAUAGCUUCGCAUCAAAGAGGCAAGUCUUUCAGUUCCUAUUUGUUAUAUGAACUUGACAUGAUUACAUGGAUUACAUGUUAUACUUGUGGAAUGAUGAAGGUCAACUAUUUACUAAAUUUGAUUGAGUUUUUAAAACUCAGUCUUGACUUGAUAUUUGAUAUGCAUGAGAUACAAAUAUUACUUAAAUUGUAAUAAUGUUGAUAUAUGAUUUAAGCAUGAUAUUAUGUGUUAUGUGAAGCAUGAAAACUGCUAGAUUUGUUGGGUUGUUGUGCUCAAUCUUGCAAACAUUUUUGCAGAUUUGAUAUGCGAUGAGAUAUCUUGCUGACCAGAUAAUAAAGACUAGGAGCAUGUUCAGGAAAAUUGUUUUCUUUAUUUAGAAUUUGUAUUACACUGUGUUGACAGUUUGCGAAGUUAUAAAUGAGAGAGAUGUAAAUAUUAGAUUAUUUAAUCAAUAAAGGAAGUUUGUUUUGAGAAAAGAAUGUGUAGUGACAAUUACUAUUUAUUGAAAGU
Molecule: long non-coding RNA, 2738 nt
Filed under: Panax ginseng (ginseng)
Lineage: Eukaryota; Viridiplantae; Streptophyta; Magnoliopsida; Apiales; Araliaceae
Description: long non-coding RNA (PGIN_LNC003701)
Source: RNAcentral